This 126-nucleotide small RNA is filed under the name Marmota monax (woodchuck). Lineage: Eukaryota; Metazoa; Chordata; Mammalia; Rodentia; Sciuridae. The record is from RNAcentral.
GCUGGGCAUGGUGGCGCAUGCCUGUAAUCCCAGAGGCUUGGGAGGGUGAGGCAGGAGGAUCGCAAGUUCAUGAGCCAGUAACAGCAAUGCCAAGGUGCUAAGCAACUCAGUGAGACCCUGUCUCUA